Molecule: ribosomal RNA, 2769 nt
Filed under: Triticum aestivum (bread wheat)
Lineage: Eukaryota; Viridiplantae; Streptophyta; Magnoliopsida; Poales; Poaceae
Description: partial small subunit ribosomal RNA
Source: RNAcentral
CAAAAAAGCAGGAACUAGGGUGGAGCGUCAAACCAGCCAAAAAAAGCAGCCCAAAAAUAAGUAGGGGCGUGCGGGGAGGUGCUAGGGAUGUGUCCAGCGGCGUGUGGUGGCGGUGGCGGCGACACUUAGGGACCCCUGUGGCGUACGGUGACGGCGGCGCUUAGGGGUCCCUGCGGCGUGCGGUGGCGGUAGCGCUUAGUGGUCUCUGCGGCGAGCGGCGGCGGCGCUUAGGGAUCCCUACAGCGGCGGUGGCGGUGCCUAGGGGUUCCCGAACCAGCGUAACGGGACUAACCUCCUCUGGGACGGCCGGAACGGAACAAACCUCCUGGCACACGCAGUUAGGGCUGGAGACGAAAGGGGGAAAAGGUGGUUCCUAGCAGCGGCGACGAAGCAGAAGAUAGAGAGGCCUAGGGGUAGUCGUGGACGACCUACCACGAGGUCUUGUCCCGGCGUGCCUCCGGGAGGAGGGCAUCCUACACGUCUGCGCCGCGCGGAACGUCGCCGACAAGCCUUACUCGCGCCCGCGCUGUUGGAACAGGGUCAGCUGCUACCGCCGCCGCUUGUGGCCACGAGGAAGAGCAGGAGAUGGAGGUUCCUUCGCGUGGCCAUGUCGAGUCCGUGGGGGCAGGGGUUUAGGGCAGGUGGGUAGGCUACAACAGGUCGAGUAGGAGUGCGAGCACCUAAGCGGAGGAGGAUAUGCGCUGUGAACUUUGUACCUGCACCACCUCCAUCAGUACAACCGUGGUGACAAAACGAAGCACGACUACACCAUAUUUUCACGGAGGAGCCGUCUACUCCUGGACUCGCACCGGCACGAUUACUCCUACGUCCUAGGUGACGGUGGCCGGUCAGGCUCACUAACGUCUCUUGAACCGUCCGUCUAGUUAAUGCUCCUCCAGUUCCGACUCGACUUCACCCCACCCGCGGUUGUACUUCCUCAACCUCUAUAGAGAUAAAAACAGUCAGUAAUAAGUCCGAGAUUCGUAGGGGAAAGGGAUAUGGUGUAAUGAACUAUAAUAAUUUAAGUCAUGAGAAUGAGUUGACACUUGUUCAAGUACACCAUUCAUCCUAGUUGUUCUCAACCGACCGUUGACGAUACAUAUACAAUAAUACCUAGUCGGUUCCACCAAUUUAAAAUUAAAAAAAAAGGAAAAAGAAUUAAAUACGGGAAUUCAAAUACAACAAUUUACGUAUGUGUAUUGAAUCAAGGUCUAAAUUGUUCUCAUGUAAAAUGUUACUUGAAGUAUCGACUACAACUAGUAUUAAUCAUUCACAUGUUUCGUAAAGUUCCUUAAAGACAGAACACGUAUAACAUAUAACGUCUGAACUUCACUUCAUCACGGUAGAUUCAUGGUCUACAUACAAUAAAAGUUUAUUCGAAAAGAAUUUUACCUUUUAUGAUUUUUCGUUUAACACGGUGUGGCACGUUAAUUCCACGGAAAAUGACCUUUGAGUUACGUUGAAGAACAAUAAAAGUUUAUUCGAAAAGAAUUUUACCUUUUUAUGAUUUUUCGCCUAACACGGUGUGGCACGUUAAUUCCACGGAAAAUGACCUUUGAGUUAGGCUGAAGAACAAUAAGGAAGACUUGCAUCGUUAAUUCGGUAUAGAACAAAAGUGAGGAAGACUUGGAUCGUUUUACUGGACGAACCUGGCUUGCUCCUGUCCACACACCACCACCUGUAUUCUACGUGCCGCUUGUAACUCGGCGUCUUCUUGUAAUACUUUCUCCAACCUCUCCGACCUCCUCUGGUAUAUGGUUGUGUUUCGCGUAGAACUACCGGUAGUUACUCCUCGGCCUGGACGAUGUGGUCCGAUUAACGUUCGUAGCCCUACUAAACCUGCUCUACUGACUACUCCUGUACUCGCAACAGCCUACUGAACCUGCUCUCCUGACAUCGUACUGCGUUACUUCUCGGUCUAGCAGGCAGGCGAGGGUCGAGUGAAGGGUCAAGACAACACGACGGGGCACGUGGUUGGUAGGUCAUUUCAACUUUUAUUUACGACCUUUUCUAUAAUUUUAAGUUUAGACCGAAUAAAAAGAGUUAUACCCAAGUCUUCCUUUAACAGCAACUCGAAGAUAGAUUUCCGUGAAAAAGUAAUCUAAAGUCGUCGCCGACUACCAUCGUUGGAGUACCCGGUGUGUAGGGGAAGAAAUUAACGUACGGGAGUGUUUUACCUACCCCUGAACCAAGAAACCAACAGCGGCGGCCUGAGCCACUUCCUGCUUUUUGACUCUACUAGGUCACCUCUUAUCUACGGUGCCCGACUUCUUUCCUCCGCUGCCAAAGUCUCGUGUGUGGAACUUCACCUUUCCGCUGUUCCCUCAUGCAGACCUACCGUCUCCCUCGCCCUGUUCCGUUGUAGUGUACCCUCCGUACCAGUUUUAGCCGCAGCAUCCUCGUUAGUACGCACACCCCCAGCAUGGUCCCUCUUCCUUUUCCCACCAGCCAAAAGAUCCCGAAAAAAGGAACGUAGCCCUUUACCCAAGCCAACUUUUUUUACUACUACACCCCUCUAGUGCGCUCACCACCUAUGCACCCAUGGUAAAUUGCAUGGUUGACGCGAAAUUAUCAUCUCUAAUUCUACAACUAUAAAAUAAGUAAAAGAAGAAUCGACUUGUAAGAAAUUUGGUUUUUAGAUACUUUGAACAUUACAUAGUACCAGCGUUAAACACUUCAUCUUGAUUGAUAGGAAACUGGUAAGUAAUUAAAAAUACAUGAACAGCGGGCACUGUUGUUUAUACCUAGUUUAUUGAUACGUGAUACCCG